Molecule: unclassified non-coding RNA, 202 nt
Filed under: Hevea brasiliensis (rubber tree)
Lineage: Eukaryota; Viridiplantae; Streptophyta; Magnoliopsida; Malpighiales; Euphorbiaceae
Source: RNAcentral
GCUUCUUCCACGCCGACAUGCAUCCCGGCAAUCUGUUCGUGGACGACACCGGACGGCUGGUUGCGGUCGAUUUCGGCAUCAUGGGGCGGCUUGGCCUGAAGGAGCGGCGCUUUCUCGCAGAAAUUCUUUUGGGCUUCAUCACGCGCGACUAUCGGCGCGUCGCCGAGGUUCACUUCGAGGCGGGCUAUGUGCCCGCGCAUCA